This 244-nucleotide ribosomal RNA is filed under the name Mysmeninae sp. MYSM-033-MAD. RNAcentral's name for it is "partial 28S ribosomal RNA". It matches the Rfam family "Eukaryotic large subunit ribosomal RNA", at positions 666 to 874 of the family's 3401-position model. Lineage: Eukaryota; Metazoa; Arthropoda; Arachnida; Araneae; Mysmenidae. The record is from RNAcentral.
CCAAGGAGUUUAACAUGUGUGCAAGUCAGUGGGACUCGAAUAAGCCCAGAGGCGAAAUGAAAGCAAAGACCGCGGAGAUCUCCCGGUCGAGUCGUGAUCCCUGUUCCUCAGUGAACGGGGCGCAACGGCGACCCGUCCCGUCCGAUUCAUUCGGUGGGGCGGAGUUUGAGCACACACGUUGGGACCCGAAAGAUGGUGAACUAUACCUGGACAGGACGAAGCCAGACGAAACUCUGGUGGAGGU